GGACUACUGGGGUUUCUAAUCCUGUUUGCUCCCCACGCUUUCGCACCUCAGUGUCAGUAUGAGCCCAGGUGGUCGCCUUCGCCACUGGUGUUCCUUCCUAUAUCUACGCAUUUCACCGCUACACAGGAAAUUCCACCACCCUCUGCCCUACUCUAGCUUGCCAGUUUUGGAUGCAGUUCCCAGGUUGAGCCCGGGGCUUUCACAUCCAACUUAACAAACCACCUACGCGCGCUUUACGCCCAGUAAUUCCGAUUAACGCUUGCACCCUCUGUAUUACCGCGGCUGCUGGCAC
RNAcentral lists this ribosomal RNA (292 nucleotides) under uncultured bacterium. Its description in RNAcentral is "partial 16S ribosomal RNA". The record is from RNAcentral.